CAGAUAGAUGGCAGUAUAGCGCAGCUGUUGAACGGAAAGGCCAAAGUAGAAUGUUUGCCGAAAUAUAACGAAACUUCUCAGCUACAACGACCGACAUAUCAGUUUGCUAUUAGCUAAUUUUGCAGUCUGGUCGACAUGGAUCGAUUUAUUGUAAAAAAGAAACGUAAAUCUAUUGAAAAUGAAGGAGAAGAGCUGGAGAACGUGACAGCUAUGAACGAACAACCACAUGAGAACCAAGAAAGUCAGGAAGAUGGAGGCGGGGAAAUGCAGCUGGAAAACUUGGCUCCGGUGGCUAAGAGAAGGAUAUAGUCGACUAAAGAAGAACACAAAGUUCCAAGAGAAAUAGACAGACAAGUAUUUUUUUGUACUGCAUAAUGGGACUAUUUCACUUUGUCUUAUUUGCCUGAAGGCAGUCAAUUGUUUUAAACGAGCAAAUUUAGAACGACAUUUCCAGUCACACCAUGUCCACUUUGACAAAACAUAUCCGCCACAAAGCAACUUCAGAAACAACAAAAUAGCGCAACUUAAAGGAUAGCUCAAAGAACAACAACAAAUGAUGGACAGAUCUCGCACUUUUGCAGAGAAAACAUAUGAGAUUGCUUGAAUAAUCGCAAGAAACCUGGCGGCCUUCACAGAUGCGGAGAUUGUCAAAGAAUGUUUUUUUGCCUCAGCCGAAAUAUCGUAUGCUGAUUUCACAAACAUGCAAGCUAUUUUAAAGCAAAUUAAGACUGCAACUCUCAGAUUCGACCAUAGCAAGACGCAUAGAAGACAUCGGGACAAACACGAGGAGAGGAUAUUCUGAAAGCCAUUGUUACAUUUUUGCUGAUAAUCAUAUAGACUGGUCAAAUCUGGCAUCUGUGUGCACUGACGGCGCCCCAAACAUGUGAGGGAAGGAGAAGGGACUCAACAAUGAACACUGAAUCAAAAACAGAGAAACAGACUGACUAAUGCACACCUGGAUUGCCUCAAGGACAGCAACAACAGAUUAUAAAUUUAGAAUGAAUUCAGUCAAGGAGCAAAAGGGACAUUUUCGCUCCAACUACUGAGGUAACCCUUAAUAUGGGUCUUAUACAUGUGAUGUAGCCUAUUUGAUGUGUGUAUGUAUAUAUUUGUGAUGUGCUGUACAUCAAAUCAUUUGCUUGUGCUCUUUUGCUGUGGUUUUUACUAGAUUACUUGUAGUUUUUCAUGUUGUUUGUCUGUAAUUUUUGUAAUGACUUGGCGCUGCCUAUCUUGGCCAGGAC
RNAcentral lists this long non-coding RNA (1241 nucleotides) under Salmo salar (Atlantic salmon). RNAcentral's name for it is "lncRNA (ENSSSAG00000109210.1)". Lineage: Eukaryota; Metazoa; Chordata; Actinopteri; Salmoniformes; Salmonidae. The record is from RNAcentral.